RNAcentral lists this long non-coding RNA (600 nucleotides) under Homo sapiens (human). RNAcentral's name for it is "non-protein coding LINC01013:3". The record is from RNAcentral. Lineage: Eukaryota; Metazoa; Chordata; Mammalia; Primates; Hominidae.
CUUAAUCACAGCCUGUGUGGGUAAAGGGAAAGCCUUGCCUGGCCAACCCCUCCCACUCCCACCCCCACCUCCUGCAUUGAUUCACAAACCUGGACUGCUCUGGAGGAGGCUGGGAAAGUCCAUCCCCAGGGAAUACCACUUUUUUCCUCUUCUGUGCCUCUCACAGGACACCCACAUGACUAGGAGGAGGCAGAAAGUGAAUAGGGAGCUCUUAUUACUUUUUGAGUGUCAGCAAGUUAAGACAUCAUCUCCAGAAAACUGUGCUAGUUGGCAUCCAGCAGUGCCCAAGUAUUAUUUAACCCACUAGAACCUGUGACUGCAUCAGCUUUAUAUCCUGGACCUCAGCCUGGAACAAAGGAGAGCUACACUUGGAUACUAAACACAAGUGGUCUGGAUAGAUUAUGCUGGGAAAAGAAGCCUGGAGCAGGCAGUACAGUGGGAGAACAAGUCUUGAAAGAUGGGAAGAUCAGGAGCAGUCUGGAGUCAUGGUAUAUGAAUGAACUAGUGAGAGUGGGCACAAAGUCUGAAGAUCUUUGUAGUGCAGCUAAUGUCUAAGGGAGAAUAUACCUACCCUAGAAGAGACAUUAAACAACCAGGUAA